GUGUCAGCCGCCGCGGUAAUACGGAGGGUGCAAGCGUUAUCCGGAUUCAUUGGGUUUAAAGGGUGCGCAGGCGGAUUAUUAAGUUAGUGGUGAAAUCCCGGGGCUCAACCUCGGAACUGCCAUUAAUACUGGUAAUCUGGAAUACGGUUGAAGUGGGCGGAAUGUAGCAUGUAGCGGUGAAAUGCAUAGAGAUGCUACAGAACACCGAUCGCGAAGGCAGCUCACUAAGCCGAUAUUGACGCUCAGGCACGAAAGCGUGGGGAGCGAACAGGAUUAGAUACCCUGGUAGUCCGACGCCGUAAACGAUGAUAACUCGUUGUUGGCGACACACAGUCAGCGACUAAGCGAAAGCGAUAAGUUAUCCACCUGGGGAGUACGAUCGCAAGGUUGAAACUCAAAUGAAUUGACGG
RNAcentral lists this ribosomal RNA (410 nucleotides) under uncultured bacterium. Its description in RNAcentral is "bacterial SSU rRNA". It matches the Rfam family "Bacterial small subunit ribosomal RNA", at positions 505 to 916 of the family's 1533-position model. The record is from RNAcentral.